RNAcentral lists this ribosomal RNA (584 nucleotides) under Penicillium brevicompactum. RNAcentral's name for it is "eukaryotic LSU rRNA". The stretch from base 207 to 360 matches the Rfam family "5.8S ribosomal RNA". Lineage: Eukaryota; Fungi; Ascomycota; Eurotiomycetes; Eurotiales; Aspergillaceae. The record is from RNAcentral.
CUUCCGUAGGUGAACCUGCGGAAGGAUCAUUACCGAGUGAGGGCCCUCUGGGUCCAACCUCCCACCCGUGUUUAUUUUACCUUGUUGCUUCGGCGAGCCUGCCUUUUGGCUGCCGGGGGACGUCUGUCCCCGGGUCCGCGCUCGCCGAAGACACCUUAGAACUCUGUCUGAAGAUUGUAGUCUGAGAUUAAAUAUAAAUUAUUUAAAACUUUCAACAACGGAUCUCUUGGUUCCGGCAUCGAUGAAGAACGCAGCGAAAUGCGAUACGUAAUGUGAAUUGCAGAAUUCAGUGAAUCAUCGAGUCUUUGAACGCACAUUGCGCCCUCUGGUAUUCCGGAGGGCAUGCCUGUCCGAGCGUCAUUGCUGCCCUCAAGCACGGCUUGUGUGUUGGGCUCCGUCCUCCUUCCGGGGGACGGGCCCGAAAGGCAGCGGCGGCACCGCGUCCGGUCCUCAAGCGUAUGGGGCUUUGUCACCCGCUUUGUAGGACUGGCCGGCGCCUGCCGAUCAACCAAACUUUUUUCCAGGUUGACCUCGGAUCAGGUAGGGAUACCCGCUGAACUUAAGCAUAUCAAUAAGCGGAGGAA